This is a long non-coding RNA of Pan troglodytes (chimpanzee), 5499 nucleotides long. RefSeq lists it as uncharacterized. NCBI's taxonomy places the organism in Eukaryota, Metazoa, Chordata, Mammalia, Primates, Hominidae. The transcript has 4 exons. The record is from RefSeq and is a predicted model, not a curated record.
CUCCUGAGCUUGUGAUCCGCCCGCCUUGGCCUCCCAAAGUGCUGGGAUUACAGGCGUGAGUCACCGCGCCCGGCGGAGAUGCUUUUACUUCUAAGGGAAAUUAUGGGAACAGAGGAUUAGGGAAAAUGGUGUGAGCCAUUGUAGGAUGCAGCCCUUCUGCAGUGUUCUGUGGGAGAAACCCUAAGCAGAUAAUCAGCAUUUAUUGUGUCCUCAGUGACUGGUCCAUUCUAUGCCAUAUACAACUGUCUUUACAGAGCUUGCAGUCUGCUGAGGGGAACAUCCAAAACUAUCUGAAGCCCUGGGCUGAACCAGGCUCUGCAGACAUUGGUGGUGUCCUAGAAGGCUCUUGCUGAGGUCUUAUGUCUGAAAAGAAACCCUUGGAAACCCACUUGAGUCUGUCUCGCAUUUCACAUGAAACAAGGCUUCGUUCUGCAAAAAUAUCUGGGACCUUCACAUUCACAAGUGGAUUUUCUGCUCAGGGGAGAGCUACCAAUCGGUUGAAAGUUUCCUGUGUAAUUGCUGGGCCGCUGGGUUCUGUGCAUCUGUUCUUGGAGGCCACUGAAGUCACGUCCUGAGUUAGCUCUCAUCUGGGCCUUGGUUUGCUUCAUCUUUGGCUGGGCCUCAACAAAUCUCUUCACCUGAAAGGAACUCCUUCAAAUGAACUGGUUGCCAUAUGAAUUGAUGCUACACUUCGAGCGUUGCCGCAGUCAGGCGAAUUCAAGCUACAGAGAAGAGGCGAUUCACAUUUUUUCCUUCUCUCUUGUAUUAUUCCUCCGGCUCAAGAACCUGCCAGGUGAUACCUCAUAGAUGGAAUCUCCCUAUGUUCCCCAGGCUGAUCUUGAAUUUCUGAGCUCAAGCGAUCCUCCUGCCUUGGCCUCCCAAAGUGCCAGGAUUAUAGGCGUGAGCCACCAUGCCUGGCCAGAGAGCAUUUUAGUAAGGGUAAGAGAUCUCUCUCUCUUUCUCUCUGUCUCUCAGUCUCUUUCUCAUCCAUCAUGUUUCUAUGUGUAUAUACUGAGUUGCAAUGUAAAUGUAUUUCUUAUUGAGGUUCUCAACCAAGAAAGUUUGAAAACCACUACUCUAGUAGAAUUAGAGCAGAAUUCCAUCCAGGAGGAACAUUUUUCUUUUGUUUUAAAAAUUCAUAUACCUUCUUGGGGUGGUUUUAUAGAAAUGUUGAUUUCUCUGCUUACUACCCGAUUCAGCUCCAUGCCAACUGCUACUAGGGUGCUUAGGGUAGGGCAUGCAAAUGAGAAAAAUGAUUUGCAUAAUAAAGUUUUCACCACCUUUCCUGUGGGCAAGAGAGUUCAGGGUUUGGAGGCUCUGCAAAUAAGAGAGGAAUGUUGAGGAGAGGCUGCUGGAAGCUGAAGUUUGGGGGUUCAGAUGACAGAAGGAUGAAAGGACAAACACAUAAACAAAGCUGGUGGCAUGGAGGUAGGGGAGCAAGGAGAACCCAGAUAGUGAGAAAUUCUUUAAAAUUAGGGGGAAAGACGGCCGGGCGCGGUGGCUCACACCUGUAAUCUCAGCACUUUGGGAGGCAGAGGCAGGCAGAUCACAAGGUCAGGAGAUUGAGACCAUCCUGGCCAACACGGUGAAACCCCGUCUCUACUAAAAAUACAGAAAACAAAAAGUUAGCCGGGCAUGGUGGCGGCCACCUGUAGUCCCAGCUACUCGGGAGGCUGAGGCAGGAGAAUGGCGUGAACCCGGAAGGCGGAGCUUGCAGUGAGCCGAGAUCACGCCACUGCACUCCAGCCUGGGUGGCAGACCGAGACUCUGUCUCAAAAAAAACAAAAACAAAAACAAAAACAAAAACAAAACAAAAAAAACUUACGGGGAAAGGAAGGUGGCAGUAGAGGGAGGGGGUGAGGGAGUCCUUGAGAAAUGUUGGCACGGAUGUAUGAUAGUCAGUUUCAAGUUGUGUAUUCCAUGCUGCACUCCAUUACUUCCAAAUCCUCACACAAAUACUUAUUUUGCUCAUAACCUUGUGUUUGUGAUGUUCUGCAGAAAGAGGGCAAAAGACAGUGGUCCCAGAACUCCUAAAAAGGAGCUGAGCAUGUCGGUUAGGAUCCAGAGAACAGCCACGAAGCAGGAUUGACCCAAGUAUGGAAGCUAGGUAACCCCUUUCUCUCAAAUAUGCCAGGGGAAAUGACAUUUGAAAAGAUAAGGAUAAAUUCUGAUGUUCCAAGUCUCAAUGUCCUGUAGCCAAAGAACACCAGGAACACAUAUGUGUUAAUAGUUGAACAAGUUGGGUCUACUACUCAUUGCAGCUGCAGCGGGGGAGAACUUACAUUGUGGGGAGCUGUGGGGCGUCUCAGUGAGUGGAUUUAUAAAGGCUUGCAGGCUUUGGUCUUGUGUUGGGUGAUUUUAGGGGAGGUUUUAAGAAAGCGGGCUUUGCUCUAAUUGAAUGCUGUCAGGAAGCGGAGAUAAUUCUAUGAUUGGUUAUCCUAACUAUCUUAUGCAUAGGGUGGGCAGGCUAGAAUGAGGCUGAAACCUUAGUUGGUAAAGCAGCAGCAGUUGCCCACAUUAGCUUGGAGAGGGGGACAUCUGGUAUUUCGUGGGUUGGACAAUAUUCCUGCUUUGUCUGUGUUCACACGUAUUGAGUGGUCUUAUUUUUGUCCUGAUCCGUUAUGGGCACAGAGUGGCCUUGUUUGGUGCUGAUGGUCCAUAAAGUUAUUUGUGUUCAACAAAAAAAUACACCAAAGUGUUGCUCAUAGUACCAGGCCUGUUCCCAGAUAAUCAGGGUCUGCUUGUCUCCUCAGUAGUAUGGUCGUUUGAAUCAUUUUACUUGAAUAUUAAGAGACAGGGUGAGCCCAGGGAGUUGUGAGAUUGGGGUCAUCAAGAUGACAAACGCAUAUUUUUAUGCAUACAUAUGUGAUGUAGUUUAUGUAUACAUAAAGGUUUCCUACAUAGUUGUUUAAUGUAUGUUGUUUAAUAUACAUGUUAAGUACCAAGUUCCCUCUGUGAAAGGAAGGCAAAUUUACAUCUUCCUCAUUAAUUGAGAGAAAUUCCACAAUCUCUCUUGUGACUUUCAUUAACUAUCUUCAAAUUUGCCCAUCAAGAAAUUAGGGAGCUGGGCACCUGACUCAAAAUUUUCUAGUAUAAUAUGAGUGACAAGGUCAGAUGUCUGUAAGGAUGGAUGGAACUGAUUACCUCCACAAAUUAGGAUGGAAUCUUGUAGAUACGGAGUUGCAGCAUUCUUUGUGUGCUGAGAGCUAGAAACCCUGCGGAUGGCCUGAAACACGCAGUUUCCAUGAGUCAGGUGGCUGGGCUGGGGAAUGGUGCUGGCAAUAUAAUGUUUGUGUGGUUAAAUUCAGCUGAGCUCCACUUGAAAUACGGCCGGCUGGGCUUCAAAGGAAAACAGAACUAUAAUGAAUCAUUGCACACUAGAGUGGGUUAAUACCAUAAUAUCACUGAGAAAUCAUUUGUAAUAAUGGUGAAUUAUACAACACAACAAUAUGCUGACUUUAAUUCCAGUGCCAUACGGCUUUUGGUUUACUUUUAUGCCUUUGGAGGGGAUAGGUUGCUGUGGUUUAAGGUUUUUUGCAUGAAGAAGAUCAUAAAAGCAGGAUGUUAUUUUAUUAGGAGAAUAGAAAUCUCAGUAAAAUAUAAACCUAGGACAUAAAAUGGAGAUGGAGGAGGAUUAGCAAAUGCAAGAUGAUGUUUAUUAUUGUGUAGUCAAUGAGAGUUGUAGUACAUUUACCCCUCCUUUUUGUAGUUCCCAGGGCAGUGGGUGACUUCAGAAUGCCUGGCUUCUGCUCUAGGGCUGCAGCAUUCAGUGCAAACUUGUCCCUGGGUAUGCUGCUUACACAUCCCCACAAAGAAGGUUAUGUUCCUUGUUUUUCAGAAAAGAACUCAGGUUGAGCACAUCACCCUACUUAAAGUACACAGGACUAGGCCAGGCAUGGUGGCUCAUGCCUGUAAUCCUAACACUUUGAAAGGCUGAGGUGGGCGGAUUGCUUGAGCCCAGGAGUUCGAGACCAGCCUGAGAAACACGGUGAAACCCCGUCUCUACUAAAAAAGCCCCACAAAAAGCUAGCUAGGUGGGGUGGUGCGCACCUGUAGUUCCAGGAACUUGGUAGGCUGAGGUGGGAGAAUCACCUGAACCUGGGAAGUUGAGGCUGCAGUGAGCUGUGACCACUGGACUCCAGCCGGGGCAUUGGUGUGGGACCCUGUCUCAAGGAAAAAAAAUAUGCAGGACUAAAAGCUGUGACUUGUAAGCGUCAAACUCAUUUCAAAUCACCAUAGGUGCAGGUCAGUUGGCAUUUUACUCAGAGAAGUGAAUUUACCAUUGCCCUUCUCUGUAACUCUGUUCCCCACUGUAGCCAAAUGCUCACACCUAUGUCACUUGUGAACUCCGUGCCAGCCAGGUGCUGGGAUUGAUGUCCCCAAAGUCCUGCAAUUGGCAGAACUACAUGAUCGGUUGUGCAUCUGCUGGUGCCUGGCUGGUGACUGUCUAGCUUCUUGGCCCGAGGUCCUACUUCUUGUUGUCUGUUUUUCUGAACCCUGGUCUUUGUUACCCUCUGACCCGGGGCACCUGUGCACCCAUUAAAUCCUGCCUGCCCCUUGCCUUGUGACCCCUGUUCUCUAUUCCCAGGUGCUCUGCCCCAUGGGGACUUGCCCCAGGUUCUGGACUAUGUGCUUUAUUAUCUCUUUUAGCUGUCCAGAUUUGAAUAACUUGGUUACUCUUAUUUGUUUGUAGAUUAUAACAUAAACACAUUUUAUUUUUCAAAUAUAAAUUUAUAUUAAAAUGUUGAAUAUGCUUUUAAACAUACAUAUAUUUCCCUGUCACUAGAUCCUGAGACAUCUUUGAUAUGCCUCUCUGAGAGGGUCAUUAUAUCUACCAGCAAGGUGGUUCUGAGUCCUAGAUGUCCAUUAGAACCCCCUGGGGAGCUUAAAAUAAUGCCUGGGUACUAUUCCCCAAACUGAUUUAGCUGCUCUAAAGGGUGGGCCUAGGCAACCACUGGUAAUUCUAAUGUGUUGCCUGAAUUGGGGACCACUAAGCUGGCACCAUCAGCAUUUUUAAUGUUAGGUGAGGCAUUAAAACGUACUUUUUAGGUAUCAUUGCCAGAUUUAGCAAAUAAAAAUACAAGAUGCCAAGGAGAAUAUGAAUUUCAGAUAUAUGACAAAUCAUUCUUUAGUACGUGUCCCAUGCAUUAUUUGGGACAUAUUUUUACUAAAAAUUAUUCAUCAUUUAUCUGAAAUUCAAAAUUAACUGGGAAUCCUGCAUUUUACCUGGCAACUCUACUUUUAAGGAGAAUCCCAUAUUUUGGAGAAUUUUUUUCAUUUUACUCAUUUGAUUGAUAAUCAAACUAAUAUGUUCUUUGUAUUCAUGCUCCAUUGAAAAAGCACCUGAAAUCAAGUUUGUGUGUUUACACCUAGGAAUUUCUGAAGGAGAAAGCCUUAUACAUCCAAAGAAGCCAACAUGUCAGCUAGCAGUGGAUUUCUUUCUUUCUUUCUUUCUUUCUUUCUUUCUUUCUUUCUUUCUUUCUUUCUUUCUUUCUUUUU